Molecule: ribosomal RNA, 510 nt
Filed under: uncultured Bacteroidota bacterium
Lineage: Bacteria; Pseudomonadati; Bacteroidota
Description: bacterial SSU rRNA
Rfam family: Bacterial small subunit ribosomal RNA
Source: RNAcentral
GAUCAGUAGGGGUUCUGAGAGGAAGGUCCCCCACAUUGGAACUGAGACACGGUCCAUACUCCUACGGGAGGCAGCAGUGAGGAAUAUUGGUCAAUGGACGAGAGUCUGAACCAGCCAAGUAGCGUGCAGGAUGACGGCCCUAUGGGUUGUAAACUGCUUUUAUAAGGGAAUAAAGUGAGUCUCGUGAGACUUUUUGCAUGUACCUUAUGAAUAAGGACCGGCUAAUUCCGUGCCAGCAGCCGCGGUAAUACGGAAGGUCCGGGCGUUAUCCGGAUUUAUUGGGUUUAAAGGGAGCGUAGGCCGGAGAUUAAGCGUGUUGUGAAAUGUAGAUGCUCAACAUCUGCACUGCAGCGCGAACUGGUUUCCUUGAGUACGCACAAAGCGGGCGGAAUUCGUGGUGUAGCGGUGAAAUGCUUAGAUAUCACGAAGAACUCCGAUUGCGAAGGCAGCUCACUGGAGCGCAACUGACGCUGAAGCUCGAAAGUGCGGGUAUCGAACAGGAUUCGAUAC